RNAcentral lists this long non-coding RNA (617 nucleotides) under Malus domestica (apple). Its description in RNAcentral is "long non-coding RNA (MDOM_LNC010896)". The record is from RNAcentral. Lineage: Eukaryota; Viridiplantae; Streptophyta; Magnoliopsida; Rosales; Rosaceae.
AGGCUGGCAACCAAGAUCAAGCAUUCCAUCCAGAAUCCAAACAAUAACAGUCUUGUUCAAUCGGUCUUUUUGCAAUAAGAGUUCAUCAAACAGACCUUACUAUUCUCUCCGGUAAAAAGUAAAAAUUUGCAAAUAGGUAAAGGAGAAUUGAAGAAAGAAUGAUCACUGACCUGAGGGGAAAGAGCGACAUGAAGAAGAUUGACAACUUAGGAUUUAGGAGACGCCUGUGAAGCAGAGAUUGUGUCAAAUUCGGAUGUCUGUCUGGGUAUUGCAGAGUGGUUUCUUUCUCUGUCUCUCUUCAUUCACUUGCUGAUCACCGUUGGAUUAAAUUGCAUGUCGAGAUUAGAUUGAGACUAUGAAGGGUCGUACGUAGAAACGUGUCGAAAAGAAAACCCACAUUUGAAUGUCUGUCUGGGUUCUUCGUGAAGAAAUGCAAUUGCAGAUAGGUUGGGGUUGGGUUUGGGUUUGGGGUUGGCGUUGGGGUUGGGCUGGUUUAGGGUUUAGGGUUUAGGGUUUAGGGUUUUAGGGUUUAGGGUUUAAGGGUUUAGGGUUUAGGGUUUUAGGGUUUAGGGUUUAGGGUUUAAGGGUUUAGGGUUUAGGGUUUUAGGGUUUAGGGU